AGUGAACGCUGGCGGCGUGCCUAACACAUGCAAGUCGAGCGAAGUAUUAGGUGUAGCAAUACAUCUGAUACUUAGCGGCAGACGGGUGAGUAACACGUAGAUAACUUACCUCUUAGAGGGGGAGUAGCCCGCCGAAAGGACGGGGUAAGUACCGCGUACGAAAAUACUUGUGGCAUCACAGGAUUUUGUAAACAACCCGCCAAGGGUGGCUAAGAGAAAGAAUCUGCGGCCUAUCAGCUAGUU
Molecule: ribosomal RNA, 243 nt
Filed under: uncultured bacterium
Lineage: Bacteria
Description: partial 16S ribosomal RNA
Rfam family: Bacterial small subunit ribosomal RNA
Source: RNAcentral